Molecule: long non-coding RNA, 2941 nt
Organism: Rhinopithecus roxellana (golden snub-nosed monkey)
Lineage: Eukaryota; Metazoa; Chordata; Mammalia; Primates; Cercopithecidae
Exons: 4
Source: RefSeq, a predicted model, not a curated record
GCCCCGCGCUGUCCUCGGCCCGGCGUGGCCUGCGAGACUGGUGCGGGUGCCUCGGGCUCUGACCGUUCCGCGGCGGAGGUUGCUCUGCAAAAGGGGAGUUACCUGUGAUGAGAAGUAGUAAGAGCUUAUUGGUAUACUGUGCAAAUGAAGAAAGAUGAAGAAGUGAAGACUGCUCUCACGGUCCUCGUCCAUGAAUCAUUUAAGUCGACGUUUGGAUGUGUUUCCCCCAGACACGUGCGAGGCGCGCGGAGCAGGCAAUUAUCAGUGAAGCUCCUACAAACAUCUGUGCACAGGUUUUUGUGUGGACACGUUUGCAACGCCUUUGGAUAGAUACCAAGAAGCAUGAUUGCUGGAUCAUAUAGUAAGAGAUGGUGGGGAACGUGGUAAGACCAGCGACUUCCAUGAGCCUGUGCCCAUCGCUGCACUUUUUUUUGCUGUGAAGUGAGUGCCUUGAUCAGAACAGUGAAAUGGCCUUUUGAAGACUCAGAUAGAGUGUCAGGUGCAGAGGGAAGGAACUGGGAGCACACAGCAAGACAGUGGCUGUUCACAAGCUAGGAUCUGACCCUGCUGGCACCUUGAUCUUGGACUUCCGGCCUCCAAAACUGUGAGAAAAAAAUAAGUAUCUGUUGUUUAAGCCACCAUCUGUGGCAUUUUAUUACGACAGCCCGAGUAGACUACUACAGACGCUAUGUUGCUUCUGAGGCUAUGUUUAAAAAGGCCAUGCAAAUAAACAGGCUGGGCAGCUUCCCAGAGCUGGGAGUUCUCUGGGAACACUGGCGUUAGGGCUGGGAGGCCACUGCAGACACUCCAAACGGAAGUCCUGGUUGGCCCAGUCUUCAGCCGCCCAGCCCCACUGCUGGCGCGUGAGUGGGAGGGCCACUGGGGACAAGCUGUGCCCGACAUUGGCAAUCACGGGGCAGACAAGAGCUCUCUGCUAUGCCCCUUCUCAGUUCCUGACCACGGGCGGAAUUGAUGCGCAUGAAAAAUGCUGGCUGUAUUUCACCAACGUAGGGGGAUUUUUCUAGUCACGCUGGAUAAACUGGAACAAUGUUGUAUGAGCAUUUUUGGAGGAGUCUCUUUUGGGAACCUAUUCAUUUCUCUCCCCAUUAAGUACGUAGGAAGGAAUUUCUAGGUUGAAGAUUAAAGUUGUUAUAAAGAUUUGCUCUAGUUCUCCCACAUGGCUGUCCUAUUUUAAACUCCCCACAGCCAUGUGCAAGAGCUUCCGUCACCCACGUCUUUGCCAACAUUGGUGUGAUCUUUUCGAUGUUCACCCUCCCAGUGAGUGUGAAAGGACGUCUCAUGGUCAUUUUAUUUUCAGUCCUUUGAUUGCAAAUGAUGUUGAGCAUCUUUUCAUUUGCUUACUGGCUAUUCGUAUCUUGUCUUUUGUGAAACAUGUAUUCAAGUCUUUUGCCCAUUUUUAAACACUGUGUUGUUUCUCUUUUUUUAGUUCAUUUGUGGGAAUUCUGUAUAUAUUCCAUAUACAAGACAUUUGUCAGAUAAAUGAGCUGUGAAUAUUUUUUCCCAGUCUAUGUGACGUUGGUAGUUUUCAAAGCUCCACAGAUGACUCCAGCAUGUAGCCAAGGUUGAGACCGUUGGCCUAGUGCUUUUUUCCUCCUUUUCCUGGAAGGACAAAACUGGGGUCCAGUAUGGAGGUUGGGAAUCAAAUCGCCUGACUUUGACUUGGCUCCAACACUUGCCUACCAUGUGACCCUAGGCAAGUCACUUAAAAUGACCUAAAAUGACUUCUUACCUCCAUUUUCUCACCUCUAAGAUGGAGUUGAGAAUCGGGCUCUGGAAAGACUGUUUUAAUAAUUAAGUAAUCGUAAGCAGAUGUCUCUGCUGCCACUACAUGCACAGAUUAUGAUAUUUGCAGGGCAGUAUCAGGUUUCAACUUAAAAUUUCUCAUAGUUACGGAGAAUAUCUUCUAUUUUAGGCAAAAUUUUCAGAUCACCAAUAUUUGCCAUAGAUAAAAGACUAGGAGUGUGGGGGUUAUUAUAACGCUUUAGAUACAUGAGGAAAUUGUACAAAAUAAUAUCUCCAUGGGGUAUUUAUUUGUUUUUUAAUGCCUUGUACUUCAAGUGAAAGAAAGGCAUGGAGGACAGAAACAGUGCAGGCAGCAAGGGCUGGCAGUAGCACGGAGUCUGGCAUUGCAGAUAUCCUAAAUGCAAAACGUCGAGGCUGAAAUUGGCACGAGACAUGUCACAUAUUCAGCAAUCCUAAAUCAGUUCACUCUCAUACUUGGAUUCUCUGAGAAUCAAGGCUCAUGUCUGCAAGCAACUGUCUAAGCCUGCAACAACAUACAGCUUUAGGUAACGUCAACACAGGAAUCGAAUCCACACUAAACGUAUGUGACCAUAUCAUAGUGCUUUAAUCAGAGUGAUGUACGUUUAUAGAAUGCUUUCAUAUAUUUAUUUUAGGCUGAUUUAUAGCAACUGUGUAAGGAAAUACUGGAAGAGAUUAUUAGGAUCAUCUCAAUUUUGGAGAUAAAGCAGCUGAGGCUCAGAGGUCACAUGGUUAGUAAGGCUCAGAGCUGGCACAAGGAGCCAGAUCUUCCAACUCCAAGUCCAGCACCUUUGCACACCACACCAGGGCUUCUCAAACUGCAGCUCACUUCUACAGCUCACCUGGGGGUCUUGUUAAAAUGCAGAUUCUCACACAAUAGGUCUGGGAUGGGGCCAAGUGCUUCUUUUUCUGAUGAGCUUCAGGUAGUGCUGAUACUGAUCCAUGGAUCAUAUUGUGAGUGGCCAGGCACUACACGACGCUCCAUUUCAAUCAAUCAACUAGUCAUAUGCCUGGUUCUUCAAUAGUUGUCAUUAUACACUGCUGACUGCAGAACAAAAAUCACUUCCAGGUUGCCUUUCAGCUAGGUAUCACCUUCCAAGGGUAAGUCCCACUGACGAGCCCAGCUGCAGCUUUGUUUUCCUUAGAUGUGCUCCCCUUU